GCUGGGAUAGCUCAGUUGGUAGAGCAUGAGAAUCUUAAUCUCAGGGUUGUGGGUUUGAACCCCACGUUGGGCA
This 73-nucleotide transfer RNA is filed under the name Podarcis lilfordi (Lilford's wall lizard). It matches the Rfam family "tRNA". From Rfam's summary of the family: Transfer RNA (tRNA) molecules are approximately 80 nucleotides in length. Their secondary structure includes four short double-helical elements and three loops (D, anti-codon, and T loops). The record is from Rfam by way of RNAcentral. Lineage: Eukaryota; Metazoa; Chordata; Lepidosauria; Squamata; Lacertidae.